This 253-nucleotide ribosomal RNA is filed under the name uncultured bacterium. RNAcentral describes it as "partial 16S ribosomal RNA". It matches the Rfam family "Bacterial small subunit ribosomal RNA", at positions 524 to 776 of the family's 1533-position model. The record is from RNAcentral.
UACAGAGGGUGCAAGCGUUAAUCGGAUUUACUGGGCGUAAAGAGCGCGCAGGCGGUCGUUCAAGUCGCGUGUGAAAGCCCCCGGCUCAACUGGGGAGGGUCACGCGAUACUGAUCGACUCGAAGGCAGGAGAGGGUAGUGGAAUUCCCGGUGUAGUGGUGAAAUGCGUAGAUAUCGGGAGGAACACCAGUGGCGAAGGCGACUACCUGGCCUGUUCUUGACGCUGAGGCGCGAAAGCUAGGGGAGCAAACGGG